Centruroides sculpturatus (bark scorpion) is the source of this 139-nucleotide long non-coding RNA. RefSeq lists it as uncharacterized. NCBI's taxonomy places the organism in Eukaryota, Metazoa, Arthropoda, Arachnida, Scorpiones, Buthidae. The transcript is spliced from 4 exons. The record is from RefSeq and is a predicted model, not a curated record.
AGUGCAAUGAGACAGGCAGCGAAAUCCUUAGACAACAUUCUAAUCUUGAUUUCACUAAAGAAAACUGCAAAGAGAAAAUGAUUACCUUUAACAACAAUCACAUGGAGAGUGUUAUGGGGUGUUUCCAACCAAAGUAAUA